RNAcentral lists this ribosomal RNA (497 nucleotides) under uncultured bacterium. Its description in RNAcentral is "partial 16S ribosomal RNA". It matches the Rfam family "Bacterial small subunit ribosomal RNA", at positions 28 to 507 of the family's 1533-position model. The record is from RNAcentral.
GACGAACGCUGGCGGCGUGCCUAAUACAUGCAAGUUGAGCGCUGAAGGUUGGUACUUGUACCAACUGGAUGAGCAGCGAACGGGUGUGUAACGCGUGGGGAAUCUGCCUUUGAGCGGGGGACAACAUUUGGAAACGAAUGCUAAUACCGCAUAAAAACUUUAAACACAAGUUUUAAGUUUGAAAGAUGCAAUUGCAUCACUCAAAGAUGAUCCCGCGUUGUAUUAGCUAGUUGGUGAGGUAAAGGCUCACCAAGGCGAUGAUACAUAGCCGACCUGAGAGGGUGAUCGGCCACAUUGGGACUGAGACACGGCCCAAACUCCUACGGGAGGCAGCAGUAGGGAAUCUUCGGCAAUGGACGAAAGUCUGACCGAGCAACGCCGCGUGAGUGAAGAAGGUUUUCGGAUCGUAAAACUCUGUUGGUAGAGAAGAACGUUGGUGAGAGUGGAAAGCUCAUCAAGUGACGGUAACUACCCAGAAAGGGACGGCUAACUACGUG